CUGGUGCGCGGGGCAGGGGUCCUGCUGGGGAGCGUGCAAACGCCGCGUUGGGGUGGAAACCCCGAUUAGAGGCAUUCAUGGAAUUGCUAACGACCUUGCUACAUCCUAAAUCACUCAAGGUGGGGACUGAAGCAGCAGUGGGGAUUUUUUUUGCAUGAAAGCGUUUCCUUUUGCAUGAUCUACUUGGUCUGCAGAGGGUGCAUAAGCAAAGAAGUCACUGGCUUUUUUUGCAGCAACAUCGCACUGUUUGCAAUGAAUUGUUUUGCAUCCAGGAUGGAGGGGGGGAAAAAAAUAUAUAUAUAUAUAUAUAUAUAUAUAUAUUUGCAAAGCAAGCUGUUUCCCACCACCACCCACCCCAGCUCCUCUCUGCAACUUGCAAUAGCUGUUUUUGUCAGGGAGUUUAUCACUGUGAUACCAACCACCAGUAUAACCCACAGUGCCGCAGGGCAGUGCAAAAUCCUGCAUCGGCAGGAAAAGACCCUUUUUGGCUUUUUGGGGUUUUUUUGCACCAGGUCUCCAGCUGCAAGAUCCCUCCAUUGCAGGUGGCGAUUUGGAUGCCGCUGGGGGUUUUUGUCGCGGCCUGGAGCACUGUGCACAGCAGCUACUACUAGUAGGCACCGUGGUCGGCCGCCGUGCAAAAAUCCCCCACUGGUUUUGCACAGGGCUGAGUGGCAUUUUCGGCACACAGACAUCAUAAACUGCAGCGGGAUGAAAUCCCCCGGUGUCGACUCCUUGCACCCUGCAACUGAAAGCAUAAAUCCCCAAAGCAAUUCCCAGGGYGACGUAUAUUCCUUUAUAUCCCUUGCUGGUGGCACGUUCCUUUAUAUUGCAACGUAUUCCUGGCGGACCACCCGUUUUGCAAAGAUUUGGAGGGGUUUAGGGCCUCUCUUAGCAUAGCAGCCCAUGGAUUCCCAGGGGAAAAGAAAAACAUUUUCCAGCAUGGAUUUGCUUUUUAAUGCGCCUCCGGCGUGCACGCACAGAAAUCCCCAUGCAUCUACGUCUGCAUUGGAUUUUUUUUUUGCAGCAGCGUCCAGCUGGCAAAUGCUGUGCUGCAAAUUUUGUACAAUUUCCGAGUGGGGUGCAAUCGCCCUUUGCAAUUUCCAUGAGUGCAAUUGCCCUUUGCAGCGCCUCCUGCCUUAUCCUUGCCGUUUUGGGGUUUGCAACAAGGAAUUGCAUGGUGCAAUGCGCCGUUUUCUUUGCUUUUUGCUUUUUCCACUCCCUGGGCAAAGAAAACCCUUUUUUUUUGGUGAACGUGAUGCCUUAAAUCCCAUUUUACGGCUCCAUCGCACCAGCAUCGUCCGUUGUCUCCCUCGCAGCAACGGGAGGGCCGUGUCUGCUGGCAAAUGCAGCCGCCGGGUGCUGGGAAGGUGCAUUUUGCUCCAGGAUAAAAACGAGAAGUUGCUGUCGUGCAACGGGCGAUUCCCAGUCCGGGUGGCUUUUGGCAACGGCGCCAGGAAACAGGUGGAAAAACUGCAGAUUCAGGUCGGCUGCGGUGCUCCCCUCGCUGCCCGCUCCCCAGCCCCGAGAGCCGGCGGCACCCGGACACGGCGGCUUUUUAAGCUCGUUUUGGGGGGCUGGAUUUGCAGAAACGGAAAGGCGGCAGCAUCCGGGGGGUGGAGAAAUGCGGUGGGAAAUAGCAAGAAAAAGAAAAAAAAAAAGCAAUUCACCUUAAUGCAAAUCAACCUGGGGCACACAAAGGUCCGAAACUGCCCCGAAAUGCCCUUUGCGGGUAACUUUCUCCCUCCAAUGCCUAGAGGAAGUUAUAAAAAUAGCUGUUUGAUGAUUUGCAAGGGGCACAAGCGAAACGAGGCUUUUGCUGGCUCCAGGGACCGUAUUUUGGGUUAUUUCCCUGUUACAUCUGCUGCUGUGCUGCGUAACGAGUGCAUGGGGGUUUUUUUGCUGUAAAAAGCUUUAUUAAAGCACCGUUUCUGGAGCAAUUCUUGCAAUUGCAACCGGGUUGGAUUCUCUGGUCCUUUCACAGGAUCUGCCAGGAUUUUGUCGAAGGUUGCAUCACCCCAGGGGGGAAAAACCUGGGUGUUUGCAAAAAAAUGCACUUUUCCCCUGAGGACAGGCAGAUUUUUGUGCUCGGAAAGGAGGUUUCUCUCCUUUUUUUUGCUUGGCAAGUAAAUGCUUGGCGCUCACCGGAAGAAGAAAAAAAAAAAAGGCAACUUCCUGGGGUUUGAUUUUUUGCAAAAUGAAAAGUUACACAAUUGCAAAAUUUUGCAAAAAGGAGCGACCUGCCUUUUGCAGAAUCGCCCCAUCUUUUUGCAUUGCAGCCUGACACAUCCCUUUGCCUUAGCUCAUCCUUGCGUUGCUCCGGCGGUGAAGCGGUAGUGUGCAAAAAGCAAUUUUCUUUCCCAUAGGUGUUCGUGGCUUUUGCCAGGCUGGAAGAAUUUAGGGCAGUUCUGUCAUUCCUCCAAGCUGCCAGCCUAGAAACCUGGAAAUGCAGGAGGUGAUUUUGGGGUUGUUUUCCCUAUUCUGGUGUCCUAUCCAUUGCAUAGAAGAGGAAAGGAGGGAAUUGGUGCAUGCACGGCCGGGUUGGUGCACGCACCCUGUGCGACGUGCCGGCUYUUCCAGGCAGGCCCAGCAGUCGGCUCGAUGCCGACCGUGGGAGACGCAUGGGGCUUUGCAUCCCCCCGUUCCCCCCGGAGCGGAGCCGUUUGCUUCCCAGUGUGCACGUCCGCCACUUUUCAUGUGCCGGCGGAGGGAGGGGGAUUCCCUUGCCGCACGGAGAGAAAAUUCGUGCCGAUUUAUGCAUUUCACGGCUGAGGAGCAGCUAUUCUUUUGCAGCUGUUUCCCCCUUGCGGUUGAGCUGGGGCUUCCCCCCUCCCUGCUCUGGUUCUCGCAUCCAGGAGCAGUGCAGGGGAGGGGGAUCCGGGCAAUGUUUUGGGGCUGGGAUUUGGCG
Molecule: long non-coding RNA, 2905 nt
Organism: Apteryx haastii (Great spotted kiwi)
Lineage: Eukaryota; Metazoa; Chordata; Aves; Apterygiformes; Apterygidae
Source: Ensembl